CUACGGAGGGUGUAAGCGUUACUCGGAAUCACUGGGCGUAAAGGAUGCGUAGGCUGGAUGUCAAGUUGGAAGUGAAAUCCUAUGGCUUAACCAUAGAACUGCUUCCAAAACUGGCAACCUAGAGUGAGGGAGAGGCAGAUGGAAUUAGUGGUGUAGGGGUAAAAUCCGUAGAUAUCACUAGGAAUACCGAUUGCGAAGGCGAUCUGCUAGAACUCUGCUGACGCUAAGGCAUGAAAGCGUGGGGAGCAAACAGGAUUAGAAACCCGGGUAGUCC
This 274-nucleotide ribosomal RNA is filed under the name uncultured bacterium. Its description in RNAcentral is "partial 16S ribosomal RNA". It matches the Rfam family "Bacterial small subunit ribosomal RNA", at positions 523 to 796 of the family's 1533-position model. The record is from RNAcentral.